UAGAACAAUUUUAGGUGUUUAUAAAAUGGC
This 30-nucleotide non-coding RNA is filed under the name Mus musculus (house mouse). Lineage: Eukaryota; Metazoa; Chordata; Mammalia; Rodentia; Muridae. The record is from RNAcentral.